Molecule: non-coding RNA, 472 nt
Organism: Equus caballus (horse)
Lineage: Eukaryota; Metazoa; Chordata; Mammalia; Perissodactyla; Equidae
Source: RefSeq, a predicted model, not a curated record
AUUCUCUGGUGGAUUACCUGCCGGCGGUAUGUAAGAGAAGCUGUGAAGAAGCCUUUGAAAAUGCUGUGGAUGUAUCUGUCCUAGCAUUGUCCUUUUCAAAAAGUAGUGGGAUGACUAAUGACGUCCCACCUCCCUCUGUUCCCCAUACCACUUUGUUCAUUUAACUACUAAGUCCUUAAACCCCUGAAUUGCGUUUGUUUGGGUAGCCUCUCUCCCAUUUAAUGAAGGGCAGAAAGGUGUCAAUCUUUGCAAUCCCUGAACCCAGUACAGAGCCUGACACAAGGUAACUGAAACCACGGAAAGUGAAACCGCGGAUAAGGGGGGGACUACAGUAUCAUCAAAUAAUGGAAGAAUCUGGUGACAAAUCCAUCUAAAAGAGAAAUGUGAAUGGUCAUCUGCAUCCACUCUGCCCCCGAAUUUGGGAUCCAUCCAUAUGCUUCUCACCUGUAAGACUGUAGAAUGUCAAUGAUCC